CACGGCUUUUGUUGAUGUCUUUUGUCCGUUUGUGCCCUGCUAUGGCAGAGGAAUCAAAAACUUAUC
This 66-nucleotide non-coding RNA is filed under the name Sclerotinia sclerotiorum 1980 UF-70. The record is from Rfam by way of RNAcentral. Lineage: Eukaryota; Fungi; Ascomycota; Leotiomycetes; Helotiales; Sclerotiniaceae.